UACGAGGGGGGCAAAUGUUGUUCGGAAUCACUGGGCGUAAAGGGAGCGUAGGCGGGUUCUUAAGUUAGGUGUUUAAUCCCGGGGCCCAACCCCGGACCGGCACUUAAAACUGGGAAUCUUGAAUAGUGGAGAGGUCGGUGGAAUUGGAGGUGUAGCGGUGGAAUGCGUAGGGAUCUCCAAGAACACCAGUUGCGAAGGCGGCCGACUGGACACAUAUUGACGCUGAGGCUCGAAAGCAUGGGGAGCAAACAGG
This 253-nucleotide ribosomal RNA is filed under the name uncultured bacterium. RNAcentral's name for it is "partial 16S ribosomal RNA". It matches the Rfam family "Bacterial small subunit ribosomal RNA", at positions 524 to 776 of the family's 1533-position model. The record is from RNAcentral.